This 376-nucleotide ribosomal RNA is filed under the name uncultured bacterium. Its description in RNAcentral is "partial 16S ribosomal RNA". It matches the Rfam family "Bacterial small subunit ribosomal RNA", at positions 338 to 731 of the family's 1533-position model. The record is from RNAcentral.
CCUACGGGAGGCAGCAGUGGGGAAUAUUGCACAAUGGGCGAAACCCUGAUGCAGCGACGCCGCGUGAGUGAAGAAUUAUUUCUGUAUUUUAAGCUCUAUCAGCAGGGAAGAAAAUGACGGUACCUGAUUAAGAAGCCCCGGCUAAACACGUGCCAGCAGCCGCGGUAAUAAGUCGGGGGCAAGCGUUAUCCGGAUUUACUGGGGGUAAAGGGAGGGUAGACGGCAGCACAAGUCUGGAGUGAAAUGCCGGGGUUUAACCCCGGAACUGCCUUGGAAACUGGGAAGCUAGAGUGCAGGAGAGGUAAGUGGAAUUCAUGGUGUAGCGGUGAAAUGCGUAGAUAUUAGGAAGAACACCAGUGGCGAAGGCGGCUUACCG